CGGAAUUACUGGGCGUAAAGCGCACGCAGGCGGUCUGUCAAGUCGGAUGUGAAAUCCCCGGGCUCAACCUGGGAACUGCAUUCGAAACUGGCAGGCUUGAGUCUUGUAGAGGGGGGUAGAAUUCCAGGUGUAGCGGUGAAAUGCGUAGAGAUCUGGAGGAAUACCGGUGGCGAAGGCGGCCCCCUGGACAAAGACUGACGCUCAGGUGCGAAAGCGUGGGGAGCAAACAGGAUUAGAUACCCUGGUAGUCCACGCCGUAAACGAUGUCUACUUGGAGGUUGUGCCCUUGAGGCGUGGCUUCCGGAGCUAACGCGUUAAGUAGACCGCCUGGGGAGUACGGCCGCAAGGUUAAAACUCAAAUGAAUUGACGGGGGCCCGCACAAGCGGUGGAGCAUGUGGUUUAAUUCGAUGCAACGCGAAGAACCUUACCUGGUCUUGACAUCCACGGAAGUUUUCAGAGAUGAGAAUGUGCCUUCGGGAACCGUGAGACAGGUGCUGCAU
This 501-nucleotide ribosomal RNA is filed under the name Salmonella enterica subsp. enterica serovar Paratyphi B. Its description in RNAcentral is "bacterial SSU rRNA". It matches the Rfam family "Bacterial small subunit ribosomal RNA", at positions 546 to 1046 of the family's 1533-position model. The record is from RNAcentral. Lineage: Bacteria; Pseudomonadati; Pseudomonadota; Gammaproteobacteria; Enterobacterales; Enterobacteriaceae.